Molecule: ribosomal RNA, 553 nt
Filed under: uncultured fungus
Lineage: Eukaryota; Fungi
Description: eukaryotic LSU rRNA
Rfam family: 5.8S ribosomal RNA (bases 212-366)
Source: RNAcentral
AAAGUCGUAACAAGGUCUCCGUAGGUGAACCUGCGGAAGGGAUCAUUACCGAGCAGAGGGCGCCUCGCGCGCCCGCCCUCCCAACCCUUUGCCGAACCGUACACCGCUGUUGCCUCGGGGCGCGGCCGCCUCAGCCGGGCCGGCCCCGGCGGACGUCCACCACAAACCCUGCAGUCCCUGCGUCGGAGUAUGAAUAUGCGAAAUCAAUCAAAACUUUCAACAACGGAUCUCUUGGUUCUGGCAUCGAUGAAGAACGCAGCGAAAUGCGAUAAUGUAAUGUGAAUUGCAGAAUUCAGUGAAUCAUCGAAUCUUUGAACGCACAUUGCGCCCCCUGGCAUUCCGGGGGGCAUGCCCGUUCGAGGGUCAUUACACCACUCAAGCCUGGCUUGGUAUUGGGCGGCGGGGACCCCCCCCGCGCCUCCAUGUGUCCGGCUGGACGGUCCUGAAUCUCAGCGUUGUGAAUCAAUUCGCUGGCGGGGACGACCGGACGCGCCGUUAAAACGUUUCAUCACAGGUUGACCUCGGAUCGGGUAGGGAUACCCGCUGAACUUAA